Molecule: ribosomal RNA, 455 nt
Filed under: uncultured bacterium
Lineage: Bacteria
Description: bacterial SSU rRNA
Rfam family: Bacterial small subunit ribosomal RNA
Source: RNAcentral
UACGGGAGGCAGCAGUGGGGAAUAUUGCACAAUGGGCGAAAGCCUGAUGCAGCUAUGCCGCAUGUAUGAAGAAGGCCUUAGGGUUGUAAAGUACUUUCAUCGGGGAGGAAAAACAAAACUAAUAAUUUUAUUUCUUGACGUUACCCGAAAAAGAAGCACCGGCUAACUCCGUGCCAGCAGCCGCGGUAAUACGGAGGGUGCUAGCGUUAAUCAGAAUUACUGGGCGUAAAGAGCACGUAGGUGGUUUUUUUAAGUCAGAUGUGAAAUCCCUGGGCUUAACCUAGGAACUGCAUUUUGAAACUGAAAUACUAGAGUAUCGUAGAGGGAGGUAGAAUUCUAGGUGUAGCGGUGAAAUGCGUAGAUAUCUGGAGGAAUACCUGUGGCGAAAGCGGCCUCCUAAACGAAUACUGACACUGAGGUGCGAAAGCGUGGGGAGCAAACAGGGAUUAGAUACC